Caenorhabditis elegans is the source of this 63-nucleotide non-coding RNA. Lineage: Eukaryota; Metazoa; Nematoda; Chromadorea; Rhabditida; Rhabditidae. The record is from Ensembl.
GUAGGCUUAGGCUUAGGCUUAGGCUCAGGCUUAGGUUUAGGGCUAGCCUUAGGCUUAGGCUUA